CCUACGGGAGGCAGCAGUGAGGAAUAUUGGACAAUGGGCGGAAGCCUGAUCCAGCCAUGCCGCGUGAAGGAAUACGGUCCUAUGGAUUUUAAACUUCUUUUGUACGGGAGCAAUAAGGGUCACGUGUGGCCCGAUGAGAGUACCGUACGAAUAAGCAUCGGCUAACUCCGUGCCAGCAGCCGCGGUAAU
Molecule: ribosomal RNA, 189 nt
Filed under: uncultured bacterium
Lineage: Bacteria
Description: partial 16S ribosomal RNA
Rfam family: Bacterial small subunit ribosomal RNA
Source: RNAcentral